Non-coding RNA from Dipodomys ordii (Ord's kangaroo rat), 70 nucleotides. NCBI's taxonomy places the organism in Eukaryota, Metazoa, Chordata, Mammalia, Rodentia, Heteromyidae. The record is from Rfam.
GGGAGUGUGGCUUAGUGGUAGAGUGCUUGCCUAGCAUGCAUGAGGCCCUAGGUUAGAUUCCUUAGUACCA